RNAcentral lists this long non-coding RNA (1260 nucleotides) under Aquilegia coerulea. RNAcentral describes it as "long non-coding RNA (ACOE_LNC001363)". Lineage: Eukaryota; Viridiplantae; Streptophyta; Magnoliopsida; Ranunculales; Ranunculaceae. The record is from RNAcentral.
AUCAAUGCUAAAGAAUAAUAAAAGUGCCUUAUAUUGAUAAAGAAAAAAUGUCAAGAAGAUGUCCAUAUACCAGUAAAAAUGUUCUAACGUAAAAUGAACCAUGGUCCAAAAAAAAAGCAAAAUGCACCUAAGACCCCUAAAAAUGUAGUCAUAGACUGCCAUAUAUACCAAAACAGAAAUCUCAAGACGAUUGCAUGCGACUUUCAACCCAAAUCAAAUAUCCCCCGUCAACGAAACCAUCUAGAGUUGUUUCUCCAUUUUGGGGACCAUCAUAAAUGGGAGCGCCAGGAUCCAAAAUUUUUGUUAUGUAAACUUUUUUCUCUCCAGGACGCACCUUUCUACCAUGACAAUUAUGAGCAGCUUCCCCAAUAGAAUCAAUAUACCCCUUGGCCACUGGUACAUCAUUGUGAUUGAAUAAAGUGACUUUUCCACUAACUUGCCUACCAGUAGGGGUCACAUACUCAAAAAAACCGAGCUAAGUUUUGAGAGACAACAGGUGAUUGGCGGUCAGAAGUGAAUCCAACUUCAGGACUUGGACAAGUUAUUAUUGGUGAUUUCUGAGCAUUCCCGGCCGCAAGAUUACAUACUUGUUGAAGCAUAGUCUGCGACAGAUGGAUGUAAGAUUUCAACAAACAUAUUCCACAUAUGUUAACACAAUAGCUAUCAAAUGUGAUACCGAACAUGAUCAAUAUAAGAAACUUACCGCCAUCAUAGAUUUCAAGUCAGCCAUAUCAAUUUUUAACUCCAGAUACAUCAUUUUUUACCUCAGCCACAUCAUUUUUUAACCCUUAACCAUUUCAAAAAAAAAAAAAACGUAACAAGUUGAACACUUUUUAGACAAUGUGCAGUUAGUGAAACUCCUCAAUUUGGACACUAAGAUAAUUCCAGAUCAUGGCAUUGUAAUUUGAACAAGCAUCUCAACCAGGAGAUGAGAAGCAUAGAUAUAAAGAUAGAAUGAUUUUGUUUUCCAACUGUAGCCAAACUUAUCGAUGCAUUGGUAAAAAGUCAAAAUCCUAACUGGAUGUUGAGAAAUUAAAAACUAUUGAAGAAAACAAAAGUUCUUCUGAAUUAAAACUUCAAGUUAAAAGUUAAGGGAAUCAAAAGUUCUCAAUAAAAAUUGUGAAAUUGAAACUUCCCAAUUACCUGAUUGAAAAAUCGCACAACCUUCCACCAGAAUUGAGCGUCCACCACCGACUUUAAUGAGCAGAUACGAAAGUGAUUUCGAUUUCGAAAUCAAACCACCCAAACUGUAUCGAAUCG